UAAGCGCUGAAAGCAUCUAAGCGCGAAGCCCCCCUCAAGAUGAGAUUUCCCACUCGCAGGCUUGCCUGCGAGGUAAGACCCCUCGGAGAAGACGAGGUGGAUCGGUCCGAGGUGUAAGCGCAGCAAUGCGUUCAGCUGACGGAUCCGAAUCGGUCGAGGGCUUCUCCU
RNAcentral lists this ribosomal RNA (168 nucleotides) under Planifilum fulgidum. Its description in RNAcentral is "23S rRNA. Bacterial LSU". It matches the Rfam family "Bacterial large subunit ribosomal RNA", at positions 2765 to 2925 of the family's 2925-position model. Lineage: Bacteria; Bacillati; Bacillota; Bacilli; Caryophanales; Thermoactinomycetaceae. The record is from RNAcentral.